Long non-coding RNA from Sinocyclocheilus grahami, 111 nucleotides. RefSeq lists it as uncharacterized. The transcript has 3 exons. The record is from RefSeq and is a predicted model, not a curated record. NCBI's taxonomy places the organism in Eukaryota, Metazoa, Chordata, Actinopteri, Cypriniformes, Cyprinidae.
UUUUUUACAGAACAUAUAACACAUGAUAUGCUUCUAAAUGGUGUAAUUAUAUAGUUUGUCCAGCAGAAUGUGCGCUAUUGUUUGCUACUGGCGACCCAGGUCAGUGUAGAG